UGUUUUUUAAACACUUUACCCUAUUUAUAUUAGAAUGAAACUGUCAAAUAAUUGUUAACGCUUUAAGUUCUGUAGAAAGGAUCUAGUUACAGUCUAACUAGAGGUCGACUUGGCGGAAGCAUACAUAUCGCAGCGCGGAGGGAUACGUACGUGAAUCGACAGCUAUCCAACUGUCAGUGGCGAUCAGAGUUGAGAGGAUGUCGCUCGGAAAUUUAUCAACGGAGGAUUUAAUCAGAGUUACUUCGUUUUGGAAUAGAAGUCACUGAAGAGGAGCGAAGUAAAUUCAAAGACAAUGAAGUUGACGGAGAAUCAGUGGACUAUGGAUUAACUGAGAGGAUGUUUCAGACCUUUUUGAAGGAUCGUUUAAGAAGCUAAAUUCAACCGAUUUGUUCAGCUGUGGAAAGAAACCGUGAGCCUGUCCCGGUACAUUCGGAGAAGGCUUCAGCAGAAUCAAAUCAUGCCAUCCCAUCAUCAGCCUUCCCAGCAGUUUUCAUCAUUCCUAAAUUUCCCAGAGAUGUUUAGACAAAGUUGGACCAAAGACCACCAUGCAAAAUUGAGAGAUCUGAUCACACCAAAAUUAUAAGAAUGUUGUAUGAAACCAUGGCCCUGUUUGAAAUGUUUCCGACCAAUAAUGACUGUGAAAGUGUGGAAGACCCUGAUUUUGAAGUACCCUUUCUUAAAGGACAAAGAAGGAAAUGGUUAUCAUACCUGGCACAUGUCUCUCAAACGUAAGUUCAAAUAUGAGCGGGUGCCCCUGGUUGAUGAUGAAGAGGUGAGAAGAAUGAAACUGAAAUUUGGUCAUCACAAAAAGCCUUUGGAACAGGAAGAAAACACAAGCAAACGAGCCGAGACCUCAGAGGUCAGAGCAUCUACUUUGGUUCCCUUUAUAUAUGUGUGCAUGUUUUCAUACAAGCAGCACGGGGGCCCAAGGUUAGCCCCUUAACCCAGCAAGGUUGAGAAUAGUCCCCACUGUAAAAUGCUUUAAGUAGCUAUGAUAAAGAGCUAUAUAAAAU
Etheostoma spectabile (orangethroat darter) is the source of this 1013-nucleotide long non-coding RNA. RefSeq lists it as uncharacterized. NCBI's taxonomy places the organism in Eukaryota, Metazoa, Chordata, Actinopteri, Perciformes, Percidae. The transcript has 5 exons. The record is from RefSeq and is a predicted model, not a curated record.